This 1676-nucleotide ribosomal RNA is filed under the name Vibrio chagasii. RNAcentral describes it as "ribosomal RNA 23s ribosomal RNA". It matches the Rfam family "Bacterial large subunit ribosomal RNA", at positions 1222 to 2873 of the family's 2925-position model. The record is from RNAcentral. Lineage: Bacteria; Pseudomonadati; Pseudomonadota; Gammaproteobacteria; Vibrionales; Vibrionaceae.
CGUGGGGUAGGGGAGCGUUCUGUAAGCCGUUGAAGGUGGUCUGUAAGGGCUGCUGGAGGUAUCAGAAGUGCGAAUGCUGACAUGAGUAACGAUAAAGGGAGUGAAAAACUCCCUCGCCGGAAGACCAAGGGUUCCUGUCCAACGUUAAUCGGGGCAGGGUAAGUCGACCCCUAAGGCGAGGCCGAAAGGCGUAGUCGAUGGGAAACGGGUUAAUAUUCCCGUACUUCUUACAAUUGCGAUGGGGGGACGGAGAAGGCUAGGUGGGCCUGGCGACGGUUGUCCAGGUUCAAGUACGUAGGCGGAAGAAUUAGGUAAAUCCGGUUCUUCAUUAACGCUGAGAUACGAUGUCGAGCUACUACGGUAGUGAAGUCAUUGAUGCCAUGCUUCCAGGAAAAGCCUCUAAGCUUCAGAUUGUAAGGAAUCGUACCCCAAACCGACACAGGUGGUCGGGUAGAGAAUACCAAGGCGCUUGAGAGAACUCGGGUGAAGGAACUAGGCAAAAUGGUACCGUAACUUCGGGAGAAGGUACGCUCUUAUCAGUGAAGUCCCUUGCGGAUGGAGCAGACGAGAGUCGCAGAUACCAGGUGGCUGCAACUGUUUAUUAAAAACACAGCACUGUGCAAAAUCGUAAGAUGACGUAUACGGUGUGACGCCUGCCCGGUGCCGGAAGGUUAAUUGAUGGGGUUAGACUUCGGUCGAAGCUCUUGAUCGAAGCCCCGGUAAACGGCGGCCGUAACUAUAACGGUCCUAAGGUAGCGAAAUUCCUUGUCGGGUAAGUUCCGACCUGCACGAAUGGCGUAAUGAUGGCCACGCUGUCUCCACCCGAGACUCAGUGAAAUUGAAAUCGCUGUGAAGAUGCAGUGUACCCGCGGCUAGACGGAAAGACCCCGUGAACCUUUACUACAGCUUGGCACUGAACAUUGAACCUACAUGUGUAGGAUAGGUGGGAGACUUUGAAACCGCGUCGCUAGAUGUGGUGGAGUCGUCCUUGAAAUACCACCCUUGUAGUUUUGAUGUUCUAACGUUGGUCCCUGAAUCGGGAUUACGGACAGUGCCUGGUGGGUAGUUUGACUGGGGCGGUCUCCUCCCAAAGAGUAACGGAGGAGCACGAAGGUGGGCUAAACACGGUUGGACAUCGUGUGGUUAGUGCAAUGGCAUAAGCCCGCUUGACUGCGAGAAUGACAAUUCGAGCAGGUGCGAAAGCAGGUCAUAGUGAUCCGGUGGUUCUGAAUGGAAGGGCCAUCGCUCAACGGAUAAAAGGUACUCCGGGGAUAACAGGCUGAUACCGCCCAAGAGUUCAUAUCGACGGCGGUGUUUGGCACCUCGAUGUCGGCUCAUCACAUCCUGGGGCUGAAGUCGGUCCCAAGGGUAUGGCUGUUCGCCAUUUAAAGUGGUACGCGAGCUGGGUUUAGAACGUCGUGAGACAGUUCGGUCCCUAUCUGCCGUGGGCGUUGGAAAAUUGAAGGGGGCUGCUCCUAGUACGAGAGGACCGGAGUGGACGAACCUCUGGUGUUCGGGUUGUCAUGCCAAUGGCAUUGCCCGGUAGCUAAGUUCGGAAUCGAUAACCGCUGAAAGCAUCUAAGCGGGAAGCGAGCCCUGAGAUGAGUUUUCCCUGACGCUUUAAGCGUCCUAAAGGGUUGUUCAAGACUAGAACGUUGAUAGGCAGGGUGUGUAAG